This 754-nucleotide long non-coding RNA is filed under the name Numida meleagris (helmeted guineafowl). RNAcentral's name for it is "lncRNA (ENSNMEG00000004225.1)". Lineage: Eukaryota; Metazoa; Chordata; Aves; Galliformes; Numididae. The record is from RNAcentral.
GGGCUCAGUGCAAAGUGAGGUGCCCGCGGUGAGGGGCACGGGCAGUGCAGCAACGACGACACCGCGACCGCCGGGCCACCGUGUCACCACCACGUCACCACCACGUCACCACCAUGUCACCACGACGUCACCACGGAUGGUGCCCGUCCCCCCGGGGUCGUGGUGACACUACAACCCCAGCCGUGCCAUCCUGGUGAUGCCCGUCACGGUGACAAUGCUGGCACGGGGGUCCCGCCACGGUGACUCCCAUCAUGGUGACAGUGUUGGCACGGCGGUCACGUCAUGGUGACACUGUUGGCACGGCGAUGCCAUCACGGUGACACUGUUGGCACGGCGGUCACGUCACGGUGACCCCCAUCGUGGUGACAUUGCUGGUACAGCAGUGCUGGCACGGUGACACCCAUUGCAGCGACCAGGGGGUGGCACAGUAGUGUCGCGGUGACGCCCAUCGCGGUGACGCCGUGGGCACGGCGCUGCCACCACCCAGCGCGGCGUUGUCCCCUGCACCCGUGGCGGUGGUGCCCACCCGGCAUCACCCCGGUGCCGUCCAGCGGUGACGCCGGGCUCGGUGGUCCCAGUCCGGCUCUGCCGCCUGUCCCAGCCGUUGGCCGUGCCCGGUGCCGUCCCGGUGACGUUGGCGGUGCCGUCCCGGUGACGCCCUUAGGCCUCCGAGGCCGCUUGGGGUUUCAGCUGCGCCUUCUCCAUGGCCGUGCCGUAGGGCACCGAGCGUUUGAAGAAGCCAAGCUUGGGGGGG